Molecule: ribosomal RNA, 468 nt
Filed under: uncultured bacterium
Lineage: Bacteria
Description: partial 16S ribosomal RNA
Rfam family: Bacterial small subunit ribosomal RNA
Source: RNAcentral
GACAAACGCUGGCGGCGUGCUUAACACAUGCAAGUCGAACGGAAAGGCCCUGCUUUUGUGGGGUGCUCGAGUGGUGAACGGGUGAGUAACACGUGAGUAACCUGCCCUUGACUUUGGGAUAACUUCAGGAAACUGGGGCUAAUACCGGAUAGGAGCUCCUGCUGCAUGGUGGGGGUUGGAAAGUUUCGGCGGUUGGGGAUGGACUCGCGGCUUAUCAGCUUGUUGGUGGGGUAGUGGCUUACCAAGGCUUUGACGGGUAGCCGGCCUGAGAGGGUGACCGGCCACAUUGGGACUGAGAUACGGCCCAGACUCCUACGGGAGGCAGCAGUGGGGAAUAUUGCACAAUGGGCGGAAGCCUGAUGCAGCAACGCCGCGUGCGGGAUGACGGCCUUCGGGUUGUAAACCGCUUUCGCCUGUGACGAAGCGUGAGUGGCGGUAAUGGGUAAAGAAGCACCGGCUAACUACGUG